RNAcentral lists this ribosomal RNA (371 nucleotides) under uncultured organism. Its description in RNAcentral is "bacterial SSU rRNA". It matches the Rfam family "Bacterial small subunit ribosomal RNA", at positions 526 to 896 of the family's 1533-position model. The record is from RNAcentral.
CGUAGGGUGCAAGCGUUAAUCGGAAUUACUGGGCGUAAAGCGUGCGCAGGCGGUUAUGUAAGACAGGUGUGAAAUCCCCGGGCUUAACCUGGGAACUGCAUUUGUGACUGCAUAGCUAGAGUACGGUAGAGGGGGGAUGGAAUUCCGCGUGUAGCAGUGAAAUGCGUAGAUAUGCGGAGGAACACCGAUGGCGAAGGCAAUCCCCUGGACCUGUACUGACGCUCAUGCACGAAAGCGUGGGGAGCAAACAGGAUUAGAUACCCUGGUAGUCCACGCCCUAAACGAUGUCAACUGGUUGUUGGGUCUUCACUGACCCAGUAACGAAGCUAACGCGUGAAGUUGACCGCCUGGGGAGUACGGCCGCAAGGUUG